RNAcentral lists this long non-coding RNA (323 nucleotides) under Bos indicus x Bos taurus (hybrid cattle). RNAcentral's name for it is "lncRNA (ENSBIXG00000030231.1)". Lineage: Eukaryota; Metazoa; Chordata; Mammalia; Artiodactyla; Bovidae. The record is from RNAcentral.
AGAAUCUUUCUUAAUUUUUUGAUACUCAAAUCAAUGUGAAGUCUUUGAAGUAUCUGGCAUGCCAUCAUCCCUGUAAAUUUAUCUUCAUUUGUUCACGACCCUCAGAGACCUGUCAGAGUGGACAAAGGCCUCUGGAGCCCUUCCCAAGAACCUUCUUGCUUGGAAGAUUAGCAGUUUCUUCUCAAGCAUCGCUCUCAACUUGCUAAACACCUUGAAAAUAGUUCCAGCAAGACGUGUCUCCCUCAGAUCCCAGGGCAGGUAAGUGCUUGUGCGCGUCCAGCGCUUCUGCUCGUAGCCAUGUGGUCCUGACCAUCUGGCACUUA